UACGUAGGGUGCGAGCGUUAAUCGGAAUUACUGGGCGUAAAGCGUGCGCAGGCGGUUUUGUAAGACAGGUGUGAAAUCCCCGGGCUUAACCUGGGAACUGCGCUUGUGACUGCAAGACUCGAGUACGGCAGAGGGGGGUAGAAUUCCACGUGUAGCAGUGAAAUGCGUAGAUAUCAGGAGGAAUACCGAUGGCGAAGGCAGGUCUCUGGGCUGACACCGACGCUCAUGCACGAAAGCGUGGGGAGCAAACAGG
Molecule: ribosomal RNA, 253 nt
Filed under: uncultured prokaryote
Description: partial 16S ribosomal RNA
Rfam family: Bacterial small subunit ribosomal RNA
Source: RNAcentral